AUCCAGAGUACCACCGGACACGAGGAACCCGGUGGGAAGCCGGGGGGACCACCCCCCAAGCCUAAAUACUACCUGAUGACCGAUAGUGAAAAGUACAGUGAUGGAAAGUUGAAAAGAACCCCGGAAGGGGAGUGAAAAAGAAUCUGAAACCCUAUGUUUACAAGCUGCUAAAGCACCAUAUGAGUGCGAUAGCGUACUUUUUGUAGAACGGUCCGGCGAGUGUAUGUUGCAAGCGAGGUUAAGGUGUUAAGCACUGAAGCCGAAGGGAGACCGAGUGUGAAUAGCGCGUACAGUUUGCAGUAUACGACCCGAAACCGGGUGACCUAACCAUGGACAGGUUGAAGUGGAAGUAAAAUUCCAUGGAGGACCGAACCCACGUCUGUUGAAAAAGGCGGGGAUGAGCUGUGGUUAGCGGUGAAAUUCCAAUCGAACUCGGAUAUAGCUGGUUCUCAUCGAAAUAGCUUUAGGGCUAGCCUCAGGAUAGUUUAGCGGAGGUAAAGCACUGAAUGGGCUAGGGGGCUUCACGGCUUACCGAACCCUAUCAAACUCUGAAUGCCGCAUAAAUGUUUCCUGGGAGUCAGACUGCGUGAGAUAAGUUUCGUAGUCAAAAGGGAAAGAGCCCAGACCUACAGCUAAGGUCCCUAAAUGAAUUUAAGUGGAAAAGGAUGUGCAGUUGCGUAGACAACUAGGACGUUGGCUUAGAAGCAGCCACUCAUUUAAAGAGUGCGUAAUAGCUCACUAGUCGAGUGAUUGUGCGCCGAAAAUGUAACGGGGCUAAAAUUCAUACCGAAGCUUAGGCUUUGCACACUUUGUGUGCGAGGGGUAGAUGAGCGUUGUGUAAGUCUGCGAAGCUACACCGAAAGGAGUAGUGGAGAUAUCACAAGUGAGAAUGCCGGAAUGAGUAGCGAGAAUUAUGUGAGAAUCAUAAUGGUCGAAAAUCUAAGGUUUCUUGAGGAAGGUUCGUCCGCUCAAGGUAAGCCGGGAGCUAAGGCGAGGCCGAGAGGCGUAGUCGAUGCACAUACGGUAAAGAUUCCGUAGCCACCGAAGUCGUUAAAUACAGGGACACAGGAACAUAGCCUAACCCCACCGUUGGUUGAGUGGGGCGUAAGGGAGCGAAAAUUAGUAGCGAAGUAGGUGAUUGUACACUGGCGAGAAAAGCUGUAUGAAUUGACAAGGUGCCCGUACCGCAAACCGACACAGGUAGAUGAGGAGAGAAUCCUAAGACCAGCGGGAGAAGUGUUGUUAAGGAACUCGGCAAAAUGACCCCGUAACUUCGGGAUAAGGGGAGCCUACGCGAGUAGGCCGCAGAGAAUAGUCUCAAGCGACUGUUUAGCAAAAACACAGGUCUAUGCUAAAUCGAAAGAUGAUGUAUAUGGGCUGACGCCUGCCCGGUGCUGGAAGGUUAAGGGGAAGUGUUAGAGCAAUCGAAGCACUGAACUUAAGCCCCAGUAAACGGCGGCCGUAACUAUAACGGUCCUAAGGUAGCGAAAUUCCUUGUCAGGUAAGUUCUGACCCGCACGAAUGGCGUAACGA
Molecule: ribosomal RNA, 1533 nt
Filed under: human gut metagenome
Description: bacterial LSU rRNA
Rfam family: Bacterial large subunit ribosomal RNA
Source: RNAcentral